RNAcentral lists this long non-coding RNA (896 nucleotides) under Equus asinus (donkey). Its description in RNAcentral is "lncRNA (ENSEASG00005034368.1)". The record is from RNAcentral. Lineage: Eukaryota; Metazoa; Chordata; Mammalia; Perissodactyla; Equidae.
AAUACAUCCAGGGCACCUGGUUCUGUGGGUGCAGAGGGCUGAGAGCAGAGAAGGGCCUUGGCGGGGGAUGCAGUGUGGGGGGGAUGGCCCAUGGCUGAGGAUAGGAUGAAUGAAGCAAGGAGGGUCAGGGCCAGGAAGGCUGGCCUUGGGCAAUAGUCCAGGAAAGGAGUGAUAAGAGCCUGAUAGGAGCUGAAGGGGAGAGGACAGAAAGCAGUGCUGGGAGAUGGGGGCCGAGGAGGCAGAUGAGACCAGACUCUUCAGCGGAUUGGCUGCAGGGUGGGGCCAAGGCUCCAAAUCCAGUGAUGGAGCCUCACCUGGUGUGGGUCGCUGUGGAUCUGAGCAUAGGAGGCCACAGGGGAUCAUAGCUGGCGUGUCCCAAAUGCCCCUGAGUGAUGACACAAGAAUGUUUACAUCCAGAAAUUCCUUGUCCGGCCCCUCUCCCAGGAAUGCGCUGGGACCUAAAUUCUUCUGUACAGAGGAAAAGUGCAGCCCUUGGAUGGCCUCUGCAGCAUUGUUCCUUGGCAAACACAGGAAGACUUACAGAAGAGUUGCAAAAAUGAUGCAGAGUUCUCAUAUACCCUUCACCCAACUUCUCCUGGAGCCCUAGAGCAUGUGUCACCACCCUAUGACCUUGCUGUUUCCCAAGGCUGGGGGAGCAUGUGGAGGGAGGACUCCAAGUCCCCAGAAGCUUCUGCCCCCAGAGUCUGAGCCCCAAGCUUUCAUCACCUUCUCACACGGUGGGGACCUGCACCACGAGAGGACACGAGCGCGGAAAUUGAGACUAAGCAGUUAGAAACUUCUGAACUAUAGCGUCUACAGAUACUACAGAAUCUAUAGCAAUUUGAUGUUGCUCAGAAACCCAAAGGCAGAUCGGAAAUAAAGAAGCUGAUUUUUCA